UUUGUGACAUGCAUGUGCGGG
RNAcentral lists this unclassified non-coding RNA (21 nucleotides) under Chlamydomonas reinhardtii. RNAcentral's name for it is "small RNA Cre_4164". Lineage: Eukaryota; Viridiplantae; Chlorophyta; Chlorophyceae; Chlamydomonadales; Chlamydomonadaceae. The record is from RNAcentral.